RNAcentral lists this ribosomal RNA (740 nucleotides) under Favolus tenuiculus. Its description in RNAcentral is "eukaryotic LSU rRNA". It matches the Rfam family "Eukaryotic large subunit ribosomal RNA", at positions 142 to 869 of the family's 3401-position model. Lineage: Eukaryota; Fungi; Basidiomycota; Agaricomycetes; Polyporales; Polyporaceae. The record is from RNAcentral.
GUUGUAGUCUGGAGAAGUGCUUUCCGUGCCGGACCGUGUAUAAGUCUCUUGGAAUAGAGCGUCAUAGAGGGUGAGAAUCCCGUCUUUGACACGGACUGCCGGUGCUUUGUGAUGCGCUCUCAAAGAGUCGAGUUGUUUGGGAAUGCAGCUCAAAAUGGGUGGUAAAUUCCAUCUAAAGCUAAAUAUUGGCGAGAGACCGAUAGCGAACAAGUACCGUGAGGGAAAGAUGAAAAGCACUUUGGAAAGAGAGUUAAACAGUACGUGAAAUUGCUGAAAGGGAAACGCUUGAAGUCAGUCGCGUCGUGCAGAACUCAACCUAGCUUUUGCUUGGUGCACUUUUUGUAUGACGGGCCAGCAUCGAUUUUGACCGUCGGAAAAGGGUUGAAGGAAUGUGGCACCUCCGGGUGUGUUAUAGCCUUCGGUCGCAUACGGCGGUUGGGAUCGAGGAACGCAGCGCGCCGCAAGGUGGGGCAUUUUGCCUACAUUCGCGCUUAGGAUGCUGGCGUAAUGGCUUUAAACGACCCGUCUUGAAACACGGACCAAGGAGUCUAACAUGCCUGCGAGUGUUUGGGUGGAAAACCCGAGCGCGUAAUGAAAGUGAAAGUUGAGACCUCUGUCGUGGAGGGCAUCGACGCCCGGACCUGAAGUUUUCUGACGGAUCCGCGGUAGAGCAUGUAUGUUGGGACCCGAAAGAUGGUGAACUAUGCCUGAAUAGGGUGAAGCCAGAGGAAACUCUGGUG